UUACGGCCACAUCACCUAGAAACGCUGAUUCCCAUCCGAUCACCAAGGUUUAGCAGCACUGAGCCUGGUCUGUACCUAGAUGGGUUACCAGUUGGGAAUACCAAGUGCUGUAAG
Molecule: non-coding RNA, 114 nt
Organism: Acanthosepion pharaonis
Lineage: Eukaryota; Metazoa; Mollusca; Cephalopoda; Sepiida; Sepiidae
Source: the annotation of a GenBank genome assembly